RNAcentral lists this ribosomal RNA (595 nucleotides) under uncultured euryarchaeote. RNAcentral's name for it is "bacterial SSU rRNA". It matches the Rfam family "Archaeal small subunit ribosomal RNA", at positions 287 to 884 of the family's 1478-position model. The record is from RNAcentral. Lineage: Archaea; Methanobacteriati; Methanobacteriota.
CGCCCGGAGAUGGAUUCUGAGACACGAAUCCAGGCCCUACGGGGCGCAGCAGUUACGAAAACUUGGCAAUGCGGGAAACCGCGACCAGGGAAUUCCAAGUGCAUGCACUUAGUGUAUGCUGUUCCAUUGUCUUAAAAACAUAGGAAGUAAGGGCUGGGUAAGACAGGUGCCAGCCGCCGCGGUAAUACCUGCAGCCCGAGUGGUGUUCGAUAUUAUUGAGCCUAAAGCGUCCGUAGCCGGACCAGUAAAUUCUUGGGUAAAUCGGGCAGCUUAACUGUCCGACUUCCGAGGAGACUGCUGGUCUUGGGACUGGGAGAGGUCAGAGGUACUCCAGGGGUAGGGGCUAAAUCCUGUAAUCCUUGGGGGACCACCAGUGGCGAAGGCGUCUGACUAGAACGGAUCCGACGGUAAGGGACGAAACCCUGGGUCGCAAACCGGAUUAGAUACCCGGGUAGUCCAGGGCGUAAACGCUGCAGGCUUGGUGUUGAGGAUCCUACGAGGAUGCUCAGUGCCGGAGUGAAGAUGUUAAGCCUGCCGCUUGGGGAGUACGUCCGCAAGGAUGAAACUUAAAGGAAUUGGCGGGGGAGCACAAUCG